UACACUUGAACGACCUUCGCACUACAUCCUAAAAUAGGCCAAGAUGGGCUUGGUAUCUAAGGUCCUUGGCUUCUAAGGUUCCUAUUGGAAAGAGUAAUGCCUAACCACGACUACUCGUGUGACAUUAUUGAUCCCAACAAGACCUCCACCAAGUGAAUGGGCUUGCAAGUCAACUUGCUAAGGAAUAACUCCACACAAGUCAACAAGACUAUGCCAUUCUCCUAUCAUAAGUGCACUCGAGUUCGGGUAUAGAACUCAUCUCACAAG
This 267-nucleotide long non-coding RNA is filed under the name Lathyrus oleraceus (garden pea). RNAcentral describes it as "Pisum sativum (pea) long non-coding RNA (PSAT_LNC022917)". Lineage: Eukaryota; Viridiplantae; Streptophyta; Magnoliopsida; Fabales; Fabaceae. The record is from RNAcentral.